This 1176-nucleotide ribosomal RNA is filed under the name uncultured archaeon. RNAcentral's name for it is "bacterial SSU rRNA". It matches the Rfam family "Archaeal small subunit ribosomal RNA", at positions 21 to 1198 of the family's 1478-position model. The record is from RNAcentral.
AGGCCAUUGCUAUUGGGAUCCGAUUUAGCCAUGCUAGUUGUACGAGUUCAGACUCGUAGCGAAUAGCUCAGUAACACGUGGCCAAACUACCCUUCGGACCACGAUACCCUGGGAAACUGAGGUUAAUAGUGUAUCCCACACUCAUACUGGAAUGUCGAGUGUGACAAACGCUCCGGCGCCGAAGGAUGUGGCUGCGGCCGAUUAGGUAGACGGUGGGGUAACGGCCCACCGUGCCAAUAAUCGGUACAGGUCAUGAGAGUGAGAACCUGGAGACGGAAUCUGAGACAAGAUUCCGGGCCCUACGGGGCGCAGCAGGCGCGAAACCUUUACACUGCACGCCAGUGCGAUAAGGGGAUCCCAAGUGCGCAGGCAUAGAGCCUGCGCUUUUGUUCACCCUAGGGAGGUGAACGAAUAAGGGCUGGGCAAGACCGGUGCCAGCCGCCGCGGUAAUACCGGCAGCCCGAGUGAUGGCCGAUCUUAUUGGGCCUAAAGCGUCCGUAGCUGGCCGCGCAAGUCCAUCGGGAAAUCCACCCGCCCAACGGGUGGCCGUCCGGUGGAAACUGCACGGCUUGGGACCGGAAGGCGCGACGGGUACGUCCGGGGUAGGAGUGAAAUCCCGUAAUCCUGGACGGACCGCCGAUGGCGAAAGCACGUCGCGAGAACGGAUCCGACAGUGAGGGACGAAAGCUAGGGUCUCGAACCGGAUUAGAUACCCGGGUAGUCCUAGCCGUAAACAAUGCCUGCUAGGUGUGGCUCCCACUACGAGUGGGUGCUGUGCCGUAGGGAAGCCGCUAAGCAGGCCGCCUGGGAAGUACGUCCGCAAGGAUGAAACUUAAAGGAAUUGGCGGGGGAGCACUACAACCGGAGGAGCCUGCGGUUUAAUUGGACUCAACGCCGGACAUCUCACCAGCAUCGACUGUAAUAAUGACGACCAGGUUGAUGACCUUGCCCGAGUUACAGAGAGGAGGUGCAUGGCCGCCGUCAGCUCGUACCGUGAGGCGUCCUGUUAAGUCAGGCAACGAGCGAGACCCGCAUCUCUACUUGCCAGCAACGCUGCGAAGCGGUUGGGGACAGUAGAGAGACUGCCGUGGCUAACACGGAGGAAGGAACGGGCAACGGUAGGUCAGUAUGCCCCGAAUGUGCUGGGCAACACGCGGGCUACAAUGGUCGGGACAA